UUGGAAAGCCCACUGGCCCCCAAUCCCCACAACCGCCUGCCCGCACCUCUCCCUCCUCCGGUCCUCCCUCGUCUCAGCCGCCACCCCCAUGAACCCUAGCCGCGCCCUCCUGCAUUUGUCCUCCUCCCCCUUCCUAGUCUGCCCCAAGCCCCUCCUCGUCUCAUGAGCUAGCCGAGGAGAAGCGGGGUGGCGCGAUGCCCUGGUCGUCCGCCGGCGGGGAGCCUGCGUAGAGGCGGUGGCGGAGACGACCCUAGAUGGUGCCCCGGCCAAGAUCUGGACAGGGCGCCUCAACCUCGCCUUCCUCUUCCACCUACUUGCUGAUAGAGAGACAGCAGCAGCGGUGGGAGGAGGCUGGGCGUAGAGGAGAGAAGUGGCCGAGGGGGGUGCAAAGCCAGGAGAUGGGGGUCGCCGGAUGAGCAUAGCCGCACAUGGCCUAAUCCCGCCGCUGCCAGAGCAGAGUGGAGGACCACACGGGCCCGAUGGGGUGGCCGGGAGCGCGCGACAUCCGUCUCCCAAGCGGCUCCCAAGCAGGGAAUGCAGCGGUGCUGGCCUCUCCUCUCCCCGCGCCUCUGUCCUGCAUCGUCACUACUGCCACGGCCUUGCUCGCCAUUGACCUCCCCAAGUGCUUCUCUCCAUAAAUGGUGCCUCCAUGUCCAGACCAAUUCAAGCGCGAGGAAAGUACAACACGUGCGCGUAACUUGUUUGAGGAAAUUCCAUCUGGAAGCAAUAUUUGAUCAUGACUUGUGUUCUUGAUGCUUCAUCUACGGCUAGCUGACUACAACAGCACAUAUGUAAAGGGAAACCAUCGUAAGAAACACAGUAAAUUUCUUCAAAGGAUCUGUUUAAAGACAACAGGCAUAUAUUUGUACAGAGAUCAUAUUAUUUUGAUACCCAUAUGAAGUUGGUGGUUCAUGGAGACCCAAGGUGCACUGACAGAAGAUAUCAGAGGAGCAGAGGAAAAUGCAAGUGUGUAUGUGUGAAAAAUUAUUGCUUUAACUCAAGAUCAGCUCUUCGUUCUUUCAAGCGCUAUGUUGCUUACUCAAAUGUUUGUGGCGAUUGUAUCCUUGUGCCAUGAAUAUUUGUACUUAGCAUAUCAAUAUAAACAUAUUGUCUAUCUAUUUACCAAUUCAGAAUUUAAAGCACUUUAUUUUAUGGCCUUGAGUAAAAGUUCAGUCGUUGUUGGCUAGAAGACAUCUUCAAUACGCCGUCAACACGAGCUUCCGAAGAAAGAAGAUUUGGUGGAUGAUGUAAGAUAUCCACAUGUUGUAUAUGUGGAAAAACCAAAGGCUCGGGAUGUUGAUUUUUCGGAUGAAAUGAUUUAUCAGGCAAAAACUACAAGUGAAAUGGAAGAACUAACGCUCAAAAGCCUGAAUAGAAUUCCUUGGCAAAGGGUAGAUGUUAGCUUCAAGAGAAGUAGACAAUGGAUUUUUGCCCAUAGCACCAUUCAGGUCCAGUUGUCGUUGCCUUCACUUGCUUUGUCGUUUACCGAUCUGUCAGCUUGCCGGUUCCCUGACUUGCCGUCAAAGUUUGUGUUCUAUGCCUCCAUUUUCUGUUUUAUUUCUUUUUGUUUCUCUAUAUUACUUACUAUUUUAUUCUGCUACCUGACCAGGUGUUGCGUGCGUGCUUUAUUUGUUUGUUUCGGUUUCUUAUGCUGCUUAUUUCAUUUAUACUGCUUCCUGUGGGUGUUGCGUGCGUGCUUUAUUUGUUUGUUUCGGUUUCUUAUGCUGCUUAUUUCAUUUAUACUGCUUCCUGUGCCAGGAUGUGCCUUGCUGUGUCUUUUGUGAUCCCAAUUUUUUAGACCCUGGUGGCGCAAUUUUGUUUGCCCGCUCUUUCAUGCGUGUGUGAGAUUAUUGACGAUGGGGUUGUGCUUGUUGGGGUGGAGCCAAAGCAGUGUCUCCCCGCCGUCAGAUAGGAUGUUCUUCUGGGCAACUGGCGGUACGGGGGCACUGUCCGCCUAUGAACAGGCUGCUCUGCAAGCUAUAAAAUUCUUGCAGGGACGAUGUAAAUCAUGUUGCUGUUGAUUAGGAUGAUUCAUAUACAACUUGGGUCUAUAUUUUUGUUAGCUUGAUUAGGGGAGAGACAGAGGCAGGGAGGUGCCUAGGAUGAGUAGGAAGGCUCUGGGAAAUUUUUUGCCGAACCUGUGUAUGUUCUGUUUUGCCCAGUUGAAUGUGUACACUUCAUGUCAUAUAGCAUAGUAAUAGCAGAUGAUAAACUAUCGUUGUCAUAUUAUUGAACUUGAUAUCCUAUUUGAACUAGACAGAUAAUUUUGACAAGAUUUUAUCCUGGCGUAAACAUGCUGUCAUAGUGUCAACACAAUAAUAAUAGAAAAACCUUCUCAAAAUUCAGGUGAGGUGAAGCAAGCAAGCACCUCCCCGUGUUUUAUAUGUAAGCAAUCACCUCCUCGUAUUGCUUUUCCCGACCAUUGUUCAUUUAAACCUUUCUUCUGUAUUGGCGCUACUGGAUAACCAUUAUUGAUUUACCAAAAAGGAAUCAUAACACUACAGGUCAUGGAAAAUAGAUAUAAUUAGCACAUAAUCCUGCAAGUUUCACCUAAUAUGCACAUGUCGUUUCCGUUUUCCAAAAUAUAUACCAUUGAGAAACUUACUGGAUGCAGUGCAGAUUCUAGGAUAUUAACAUUUGCAGCCAUACGUUGGUUUCAAUGGUGACAGAUUUUUGUCAAUCCCACAGAGAUAAUUUACUUCAAGACUAGCAAAUACAUUCUGAUCGAGGAGAGAGCAAGCCGUUGCAGAGGAGAGGGGAUACGACGGUGGGCGGAGGUCAGGCAUUGCUAACAGAUUUGCGGUGGAGUGGGAGAGGUGACGCCGGCCGGCCGGCGCCUCACCACCGGCUCCUGUUUGGCGGCGGCAAAGAGAAGGGUGCCGAGGAUGUGUUUCUCUAUGCAUGGCUGUCGAAGUACAUCAUCUUUAUGAUGUGUAUGGUUUCUCUAUUUUCAGCCCUACCGCUCCAGAGCCCGAAUCCCAUGACCAUGCCCCCACCACUCCUUCGUUGAAUGAAGGGAGUCUGGUUGCUAAAAAGCCAUAACACAUCUUUACAUGUAAGUUUGUUCUCCAAAUAGUUCUCUUUCCAAGAUUUUCAUAUCAUAUUUGUCGAGGGAUCUGACUGCUUUACCAUAUUUUCCUGGUGUGGACGAUGUUAUAGAGUGAGCUACCAUCACUUCUCAUUACUGACUGUAAUCAAUUAUAUAUGUGUUUAUGCCAUAAAAGAUGGAUAUUUGUUGAAGCCAUUGUCGUGUCAUGUAAUUACUUGCAGAUCAACUAUAUAGUUUUGUUCGGAUUGUAAAGUGGAAACGAUAAAACCCUACAACUCAUGUGUGAUUGUCAUUUGAUUAUUUAGUUCCUCAAGUAGUAUGGAUAUGGUGCUGCCAGGAUAUUAAGUAUAUUAUGAAGUUGUAUAAACCACGUUCUAUGAUUCACUUCUGUUAUGCAUAUUUACUUUCCAGUUU
Triticum urartu is the source of this 3463-nucleotide non-coding RNA. NCBI's taxonomy places the organism in Eukaryota, Viridiplantae, Streptophyta, Magnoliopsida, Poales, Poaceae. The record is from RefSeq and is a predicted model, not a curated record.